CUCAAAGGGCGUUUGGAACAUGUGGCGUUUAGGAGGAAUCUCUCCGAGGGCAGACGGUGUCGCAAGUCCCCCUGAACGGGGCUGUGAUCCAGAGCGGGUGCGAGGCCCAUAGCUGGUACCGUCUCCUUUGGGUGUCCCCUCCUUGGAGUCGGGUUGCUUGGGAGUGCAGCCCUAAUUGGGUGGUAAACUCCACCUAAGGCUAAAUACGUCCGUGAGACCGAUAGCAAACAAGUACCGUGAGGGAAAGUUGCAAAGAACUUUGAAGAGAGAGUUCAAGAGUACGUGAAACCGCUCAGAGGCAAACGGGUGGGCCCACGAAAGCCGAAGGCGGGGGGAUUCAGUCGAGAGGACGGUGGGGCAGGACUGGCUGGUUGGACGGACCGUGCCAGGCCGGGUCAGUUCCCGAGAUCUGCCGCCUUUCGACGCAUUUCCCCCUGCUUAGUAGGACGCCGCAACCGGUUGGCGCUGCAGCCAUAAGGGAGAGUAAAUGGAAGGUAGCCAGUGAGUUCUUCUUCGGAGGCGCGAGCUGGUCCUAAGCCGACUCUCCUGGUGCUUGUGGCCCGACCGUGGUCGUGAGUCCCUCAACGGGAUGUCGCCGAGCCCUCUGACUGGAGCGGGAGAAAUGGCAGGCUGCUUUCCGCGGAAAAAAUCGAUCGCUUCACGCGUGCAGUGGGCGAUCUCCGGAGGUAGCUGCUGGUGCAUUUUUCUCCUGCGCUGGGCACAGGCAGUUGGCGGCGAGUAGGUCGGUCACCCACCCGACCCGUCUUGAAACACGGACCAAGGAGUCUAACAUGUGCGCGAGUCAUUGGGUCUUGAACAAGCCCAAAGGCGCAAUGAAAGUGAAGACCAGCACUGAAGCUGGUGGAGUUGGGAAACUGCGUCACUGAAGAUGCAGUUGCACCAACGGCCCGUCCCGUCCGCAUCGUCGGUGGGGCGGAGCGAGAGCGUACACGUUGGGACCCGAAAGAUGGUGAACUAUGCCUGGGCAGGACGAAGCCAGAGGAAACUCUGGUGGAGGUCCG
This 1022-nucleotide ribosomal RNA is filed under the name Draculoides sp. SCH081. Its description in RNAcentral is "partial large subunit ribosomal RNA". It matches the Rfam family "Eukaryotic large subunit ribosomal RNA", at positions 122 to 877 of the family's 3401-position model. Lineage: Eukaryota; Metazoa; Arthropoda; Arachnida; Schizomida; Hubbardiidae. RNAcentral also lists the same sequence under 1 other name. The record is from RNAcentral.